UCAUGCUAGACGGGGAGAUAGCGAUUCCCUGUAACCCGCAAUUCGCUAUAGCGGGGUUGAAUUCCUACCCGAGGUAAUUCAAGUUAAGGGUCAGCAUGAAGGGGGAAGUGUUGAGAGUUGGGUCCCAUGCAAUAGGAGCUUGCGAACCUGGUCAGAACGGGAACGUAGCAGCCAUAAGCGAAAUUUCCUAUGUGUUAUGGGGCAACCUAACUUGAGCUUUAUCCUCUCCAGUAGCGCUUUGGCAUGGUUAUCGGAGGUAGGUGCAUGA
Non-coding RNA from Candidatus Schekmanbacteria bacterium RBG_16_38_11, 268 nucleotides. NCBI's taxonomy places the organism in Bacteria, Candidatus Schekmaniibacteriota. The record is from Rfam.